UUGAGAUGUUUCCUCUCUCUUCAUCUCUUCUCUUCUUUACACAAAGUCUGAGCAUUUUCUGUUUUUGCUUCUCUUCUCAUCUUCAUUCUUUUUUAUUUUUUUUUUUACGAUUUUGGUUUGGCUUUGAGGAUGGGUUGGGUAGCCAUGCUUUAUCUCGUCGUCGUUCCUGCACUCAACCGAGUUUCCCUUUCUGUGCUUGGCUUUAGACUAUAAAUUUAGCCUUCGAGUUUAAUUUGGGGUUUGGUUUGGUUUGGUUUCAACGAUUAUCUGAUCAAGCUUCUCCUAAUCGGCGACUCUUCCGUUGGAAAAUCUUGCUUGCUUCUCAGAUUCGCUGUGAGUCAUCACUUUAUUUGCUUCUCCUAAUCUCUCUUUUUGUUCACUUCCUUUGUUUCUUCGUUUCGUUUCAGGAUGACUCCUAGGUCGACAGCUACAAAAUCAGAACCGUGGAGCUGGAAGGGAAAACCGUCAAGCUGCAGAUUUGGUAUUUCGCGUUCAAUCGCUUAUAAUUGGUCUCGACCCAACAUGAAAAUCGGUGUUAGGAUCAUUCACGCAAGUUCCUCUUACCGGAACGUUCCUGUUUUUCGCAAAGGUUUUUUUUUUCCACUUUUUUCCCUUCCUUCUAUCUUUUUCAAUAAUCUGUCAUCAUUUUCCUCUUUUUGUUCCUUUUAAUUUUCCCGGGCUAUCAAUGAAGAAGCAUCCAACAGGAAAGUUUUUUCCCUUUUUACUAUUAUGCAUAUUUGUUUCAUUGAUAUUUGCUUCUAUUUGCAAGGUUCUAAUUUUGUUUGUUGUUAUGCAUGUUUGCUUCUUAAUAAUAGUUAUUUUUUCUUACUGAUUUUUCAACUCUGUUUUUGGUUCCUUUUUUAUUUUCCCAGGCUAAUUUUUUCGUCAUCUUCCCCAUAUGGGUUGUAAGUUAUGUGUUUGAUGAAAUGCCUAAAUGGAGUUUUAGUUUUUAAUCUUAAAAAUUCAUGUGCAUCAGUGCGCAUCCUACAAAUUCCACGCUGGGUGUCUAAUGAAUGAUACAUGCAAGAUUUUGAUGAUAAUCAUUGUAACAAUUGGUUGAUAUUGAUAUCAUUUAUAUUCUUUAAUUAUUUUAAUCUAUUGUUCAAUAGGAAGAAGCCUAGGUUUUUUUGUUCACCAGGAAGAAGCGCAGGUUUUUUUCCUUCUCUCUCUUAGUUUGUGUUAUUUUUUUAUUUUCUUUAAUUAUUAUUAUUAUUAUUAUUAUUAUUAUUAUUAUUAUUAUUAUUAUUAUUAUGUAGUUGGAUGUCCUUUUUUAUGUUAUAAUGACCGAGUGAAUUUCGAAAUUUUUCUUUGAGGUUCCUAGUGUAUGUAGGUGGUGAUAACAAAGAAAACCAAAAAAUAUCUUAGAAGAUUAAAAAGGUACCCCCUUGACUUGGUUCCAUUGUCUGUGCUUAAAGUCUUUAUAACUAUUGUUAGUCAAAAACUUUAAAAAAAGUGAUUUUAAGAUUUUGAAAAAUGUGAGUUUUGU
This is a long non-coding RNA of Glycine soja, 1486 nucleotides long. RefSeq lists it as uncharacterized. The transcript has 3 exons. The record is from RefSeq and is a predicted model, not a curated record. Lineage: Eukaryota; Viridiplantae; Streptophyta; Magnoliopsida; Fabales; Fabaceae.